Molecule: transfer RNA, 77 nt
Filed under: Synergistaceae bacterium
Lineage: Bacteria; Thermotogati; Synergistota; Synergistia; Synergistales; Synergistaceae
Description: tRNA-His
Rfam family: tRNA
About the family: Transfer RNA (tRNA) molecules are approximately 80 nucleotides in length.
Source: RNAcentral
GUGAGUGUAGCUCAAUUGGUUAGAGUACCGGACUGUGGCUCCGGAUGUUGCGGGUUCGAUCCCCGUCACUCACCCCA